UCUCUUCGGGGAGGCAGCACUGGGGAAUAUUGGACAAUGGGGGAAAACCUGAUCCAGCCAUACCGCGUGUGUGAAGAAGGCCUUUUGGUUGUAAAGCCCUUUUAGCGAGGAGGAGGCUACUAGUACUAAUACUACGGGAUAGUGGACGUUACUCGCAGAAUAAGCACCGGCUAACUUUGUGCCAGCAGCCGCGGUAAUACAGAGGGUGCGAGCGUUAAUUGGAUUUUCUGGGCGUAAAGCGUGCGUAGGUGGUUUUUUAAGUCGGAUGUGAAAUCCCCGGGCUUAACCUAGGAAUUGCAUUUGAUACUGGGAGACUAGAGUAUGGGAGAGGAUGGUAGAAUUUCAGGUGUAGCGGUGAAAUGCGUAGAGAUCUGGAGGAAUCCCGGUGGCGAAGGCAGCCAUCUGGCCUAAUACUGACACUGAGGCCCGAAAGCAUGGGGAGCAAACAGGAUUAGAUACCCUGGUAGUCCAUCCCGUAAACGAUGUCUACUAGCCGUUGGGGCCUUUGAGGCUUCAGUGGCGCAGUAACGCAUAAGUGACCCUCUACUCGACGCCC
This 556-nucleotide ribosomal RNA is filed under the name uncultured bacterium. Its description in RNAcentral is "bacterial SSU rRNA". It matches the Rfam family "Bacterial small subunit ribosomal RNA", at positions 335 to 873 of the family's 1533-position model. The record is from RNAcentral.